Anas platyrhynchos (mallard) is the source of this 589-nucleotide long non-coding RNA. RefSeq lists it as uncharacterized. The record is from RefSeq and is a predicted model, not a curated record. Lineage: Eukaryota; Metazoa; Chordata; Aves; Anseriformes; Anatidae.
AAUGGCCUGGGAGGGGGCGCUGCUGGCUCCACCUAUGCCUCGUCAGACUCCCUCACGAGGGCUGCCGGGUCCUGUUGGCUCCCUCAAGUAGGCUCAAUGCCAGAAAAAUUAGCCCUGCCUGGCACAAUCCCCUGCUCCGCUGCAGAACUUGUCUGCCCCGGAGCUGAUCGCCUCGGCAAACGGCCCUGUCAUUUCACAGCUCUAGCUCUGAACUCUAUAUGAUAAUUGUAUUGAUCUAAAAUGACUGUCAACAGGGGAAGGGAAUAAGUAUUUUGGGAUUUGAGCUACCAGCCUUUCUCACACUUGAAUCUGUUGGCAAGGCAACUGGAUGAAACCUUCCCAGCACGUGUCUGCUGUGAGAUUUAGUUUCCCUUAGUCCUUGGCUACAGGUCUCUCAUCAGCAGCUCACAACCUACAAAUCAGAAAGCCAAGUUGGACAAAGGAGAAGGACAAGAGGGAGGAAGACUAUGAGCCUUCAGCACAAGAGACCCCCAGAAUCCCCCGGAAGGACCACCAGAGACUGAUUCCGGAAACUAAUUAUAAUAACCCUGUUUUUUUUUGAAGUAGUAAUGAAUAUGUAUUAGCCUAG